AACGAACGCUGGCCGCAUGCCUAACACAUGCAAGUCGAACGAGACCUUCGGGUCUAGUGGCGCACGGGUGCGUAACGCGUGGGAACCUGCCCUUAGGCUCGGAAUAACUCCACGAAAGGGGUGCUAAUACCGGAUAAUGUCCUCGGACCAAAGAUUUAUCGCCUUUGGAUGGGCCCGCGUUGGAUUAGCUAGUUGGUAGGGUAAAAGCCUGUCAAGGCGACGAUCCAUAGCUGGUCUGGGAGGAUGAUCAGCCACACUGGGACUGAGACACGGCCCAGACUCCUACGGGAGGCAGCAGUGGGGAAUAUUGGACAAUGGGCGAAGGCCUGAUCCAGCAAUGCCGCGUGAGUGAUGAAGGCCUUAGGGUUGUAAAGCUCUUUUACCCGGGAUGAUAAUGACAGUACCGGGAGAAUGAGCGCCGGCUAACUCCGUG
RNAcentral lists this ribosomal RNA (433 nucleotides) under uncultured bacterium. Its description in RNAcentral is "partial 16S ribosomal RNA". It matches the Rfam family "Bacterial small subunit ribosomal RNA", at positions 29 to 507 of the family's 1533-position model. The record is from RNAcentral.